This 450-nucleotide ribosomal RNA is filed under the name uncultured bacterium. Its description in RNAcentral is "partial 16S ribosomal RNA". It matches the Rfam family "Bacterial small subunit ribosomal RNA", at positions 354 to 796 of the family's 1533-position model. The record is from RNAcentral.
GUGGGGAAUCUUCCGCAAUGGACGAAAGUCUGACGGAGCAACGCCGCGUGAGUGAUGACGGCCUUCGGGUUGUAAAGCUCUGUGAUCGGGGACGAAUGGCUGGUGCGUUAAUACCGCAUCAGAGUGACGGUACCCGAAUAGCAAGCCACGGCUAACUACGUGCCAGCAGCCGCGGUAAUACGUAGGUGGCAAGCGUUGUCCGGAAUUAUUGGGCGUAAAGCGCGCGCAGGCGGCUUCUUAAGUCCAUCUUAAAAGUGCGGGGCUUAACUCCGUGAUGGGAUGGAAACUGGGAGGCUGGGGUAUCGGAGAGGAAAGUGGAAUUCCUAGUGUAGCGGUGAAAUGCGUAGAGAUUAGGAAGAACACCGGUGGCGAAGGCGACUUUCUGGACGACAACUGACGCUGAGGCGCGAAAGCGUGGGGAGCAAACAGGAUUAGAAACCCGGGUAGUCC